GUGCUCACUUUGGCAGCAUGUAUACUAAAAUGGGAAUGACAAAGAGAAGAUUAGCAUGGCCGCUGAUCAAGGAUGACACACAAAUUGUGAAGUGUUCCAUAUUAAA
Molecule: non-coding RNA, 106 nt
Organism: Myotis brandtii (Brandt's bat)
Lineage: Eukaryota; Metazoa; Chordata; Mammalia; Chiroptera; Vespertilionidae
Source: Rfam